AAUUGGAACGAUAAUAAUAUACUAAAAUUGGAACGAUAACCGGAGAAGAUUAGCAUGGUCCCCUGCACAAGGAUGAACAUGCAUAUUCGUGAAAGCGUUCUAUAUUUAA
Molecule: small nuclear RNA, 109 nt
Organism: Suncus etruscus (white-toothed pygmy shrew)
Lineage: Eukaryota; Metazoa; Chordata; Mammalia; Eulipotyphla; Soricidae
Source: RefSeq, a predicted model, not a curated record